CCCUAGCCCCGAUUGAAGUGGAAAUCCUUUUUAUUGAGAGGAACGAACAAUAAAAAGAUUGUAACGGAAAGCGGGAAAUAGC
RNAcentral lists this small RNA (82 nucleotides) under Flavobacterium noncentrifugens. Its description in RNAcentral is "Flavo-1 RNA". It matches the Rfam family "Flavo-1 RNA". Lineage: Bacteria; Pseudomonadati; Bacteroidota; Flavobacteriia; Flavobacteriales; Flavobacteriaceae. The record is from Rfam by way of RNAcentral.